CCUACGGGUGGCUGCAGUCGAGAAUCUUCGGCAAUGGGCGCAAGCCUGACCGAGCGACGCCGCGUGUGGGAUGAAGGCCUUCGGGUUGUAAACCACUGUCGGAGGGGAUGAAAUACUAGUAGGUACUCCUAUUAGUUUGACUGAUCCUCGGAGGAAGGGUGGGCUAAGUUCGUGCCAGCAGCCGCGGUAAGACGUACCACCCAAACGUUAUUCGGAAUCACUGGGCUUACAGAGUCCGUAGGCGGCUCGGAAAGUUGGACGUGAAAUACCUCAGCUCAACUGAGGAACUGCGCUCAAAACUACCGAGCUUGAGAAAGACAGAGGUGAGCGGAACUGAUGGUGGAGCGGUGAAAUGCGUUGAUAUCAUCAGGAACACCGGUGGCGAAAGCGGCUCACUGGGUCUUUUCUGACGCUGAGGGACGAAAGCUAGGGGAGCGAACGGGAUUAGAUACCCUAGUAGUC
RNAcentral lists this ribosomal RNA (462 nucleotides) under uncultured bacterium. Its description in RNAcentral is "bacterial SSU rRNA". It matches the Rfam family "Bacterial small subunit ribosomal RNA", at positions 338 to 795 of the family's 1533-position model. The record is from RNAcentral.